This 586-nucleotide ribosomal RNA is filed under the name Didymium environmental sample. Its description in RNAcentral is "bacterial SSU rRNA". It matches the Rfam family "Eukaryotic small subunit ribosomal RNA", at positions 27 to 555 of the family's 1831-position model. Lineage: Eukaryota; Evosea; Eumycetozoa; Physariida; Didymiaceae. The record is from RNAcentral.
UAUGCUUCUCCUAAAGACUAAGCCAUGCAUGUCUUCGAAUAAGAGGAAGCAAUUCUCUCUGAAUCUGCGAACGGCUCCGCAAACCAGUUGUAAACUAUAGCAAGCAAGCCUGGGUUCCCUUCACGGGGGGCCUGGGCAACACGGAUAACCCUGGUAAUUCUGAGGCUAAUACGAGAACGCAAUCUCUGGUCGACCUGGCAACGGGAAGGCUGGUAGGCGUACAAGUUUUUGUCGCGAGUAAUCGCCAGGAGAGGAUGUACGCCUGGACCGCGCUAAAAACAGAUGGGUGUUCCGGCCUUCACGGGUUGGGGUGCCUGCCUGAGCGGCUCUUGCUGUGUGCUUCUGACCUAUCAGCUUGACGGCAGCGUAAAGGACAUGCUAUGGUUACAACGGGUACAGAGGAUUAGGGUUCGAUCCUGGAGAGUGGGCCUGAGAGAUUGCUCAUACUUCUAAGGAAGGCAGCAGGCGCGCAACGUUCCCCUUGUGCAAUGCAUGAGGGCGUUAGGGGACAUAUGGAUGCCUGCCCAUUGGGUGGGCAAUUCAAAUGGGUUUGUUGUAAACAGGCUCUCGAGUAACAAUUAGAGGA